GCACAACACAUAGCUCAUAAUAUAUACAUAUAUACAUAUUUUAAGCUACAAAACAGCCAAAACUCUAGCUCCCCUUACCUUGGAGUUGAAUAGCCCAACUCACUAGAAAGCCCUAACAGCCUCACACAACAAGGAACUCGCCCAAACCCUACAAAUCACCAUUAUGUGGUAAAGAACAACCCUUUAGAGAUAGAGUUUGACAGAAAAUAGUAGAAGGAUGCUACUAGUUACAUGUAACCAGUAGAAAUCACAUAGCCAAGGUUCUAAAACAACGGAGGAAAAAAAAAAGAAAGAACGACUUACCCGUCUAGGACCCGAAACUGAUCGGUGGGUUUCG
RNAcentral lists this long non-coding RNA (337 nucleotides) under Vigna radiata. RNAcentral's name for it is "long non-coding RNA (VRAD_LNC001357)". The record is from RNAcentral. Lineage: Eukaryota; Viridiplantae; Streptophyta; Magnoliopsida; Fabales; Fabaceae.